Molecule: long non-coding RNA, 627 nt
Organism: Pleuronectes platessa (European plaice)
Lineage: Eukaryota; Metazoa; Chordata; Actinopteri; Pleuronectiformes; Pleuronectidae
Exons: 4
Source: RefSeq, a predicted model, not a curated record
UAUUUGAGGCUAGAUUACAUCUCUAAUGAGAAGGAUCCUGCGAGUCUGUUCAUACCGAGGCCGGCCCGAGUGCGCGAGCGGACAUGACGUGUGGCUGUCGUAAAAACCCUAUUUGUAAACAACCAGUCCUUUAACUCAGCGCUGCGUCAUAAACACGGAGCGCUUGGAAGACCACGAUGUCAUCUUCCUUCUGUCAGGAGGAUCAAAGUGAAGCUACAGGAGUUUCAUUAACGUCAACAACUUGGACCGAACACUUUGUUUUGCUUGAUGAAGAUCAGGAAGGGCAGCCUGGAGAGAAAGAGAAGCCGGGUUGAGCCCACUACCAUCAUCCACGUACCACGAGGAAGAUGAGGGAGAGAAAUGAUCCUACCAUUAAAGAGACUGUGAAAAGAACGUUGAGAACAUCACCACUCUACAGGAAGACACAGUCCAGUAAUGGGUGUCAGAAGUUCAGUAGUGAACGACAGAAACAAACAAUCAAAAUUACCUGCAGAAAGCCCUUGAUGGACGCUUCAGCUGCAUCGUCAGACUGGUGAGACAGCAAGAUGCCAACUUUAACGCCAAUUUAUUUGUGUAACAUUCUGUGACCAAAUGCAUAGAUAACUUUUUGUAGAUUGUAAAAAAAGA